UUUAGCCUGGGCUUGAGCGCGCGCAGAAGUCAGCUUCGUGACUUCCUUCUCAGGAUGGAACCAGCUUGGUGGCUUGAGGCUUAGCUAAGGGAGCAGAAGACUAACCGUGGUCACUACACAGGCUCUCAAAAUCCUUGCAGCAGUUCCCAAACUCUUGGCAGCGGGCAUUGCAGUGACAUUGGUGGUGCUUGUCAAAGGCUUCGUAGCAGCGGCCCUGGCAGGAGGAAAGGGGUUCUGAGUUGCAAAUCAGAAACUUGAAGAUGAAAUGGCUACUACGCUGGGUAUUGCCUUUAUCUUGAAUGCCAGCCUGAUGGUCCAAGGUGAACAAGCCUUCCUGUGUUUUCUGAAUGUUCCCCCGCACUUUGCCUGCCACCAUGUAAGAUGUGUCUUUGCGCCUCCUUUGCCUUCCACCAUGAUUGUGCGGCCUCCCCAGCCAUGUGGAACGACACAACUCUUCACCAGUGCACAAAACCUGAUGAGAAGGAUACAGACUGGAUUUUGGUCCAGCUUGCUGCUUAACUAGGUUCCCUUGCACAACGCACAACCUGUGCAAUGAUUAUGCAGUGAAAUUGAUGGCCAUUACCUAACGUGGCUUCAGUGACCAUGUUUUCAAAACUGGGAGUCAGAGUGCAUGGCUUGACAUCAAGGCUUUGUGUCACAAAGCAGAAGAUCAUUAAUCUGGGAGUUGACAACAUUGGAAGCACCUAAACAAGUUGAUUAUUCAUACAAGAUUUUUUUCAAGUAUUCAUUUAAAACUAUGCAGUUAAAGGUGGUGCAUGUCCUGUUCUAAUUGGUAGGCUGGAAAUGAUGGUAUGGAGAUGUUGCACCACGUGGUCCCUUCACUAGAGGAAGAGUGGUAUGAAUCGUGUCCGUCACUGUGACACCAUGCAGUCUUCCUGGCAGUACACAAGUUGUGUCUGGGGUCUGUCAGGAUCAACAGGCCUUGAGAGAGACUGACCCAGAGGACUACUAAAAGGGACACCUGCCCAGGCCAGCCUAUUCUACCAUCCUCGUUCUCCUGCAAAACCAAGGCCACGUCAUUUCAGCAGAGGACCUGCGUGUGGAAGGACCCUGCAGCUGGCCCAUCACAGGAGAGGCCCAGACUCACCUCCCAAGGGGACCCUGGCACAUGAAGAUGCUGGUUCUCCUGGGAGUGCUGCCCUGGCCCACAGGAUAGAAGCGCAGGAUGGUCACCCAUGUCUGCUCUUAUUGAAUGUGUCUUAGAAGCGGCUCCAUGUGUGAUUUCUUUCCCACAUUGGUUAGUAUGGUGUAUACCACGUUUGUGUUCCCAGGCUUUUGUUUAAGUUUGUGGGCAGCCCUGACAUCAGCAUCACACUCAAUGCCUGGGCUGAGCAUAUCCGUCAGACCUCCCAACUAGGCCCACUCAUCACAUAGUCCCAUGCUGCACUUCUAGUUCUGCCAGCCACACCCCAUGCUGGUCCUCAGCCUGGAACACCCUCCCCCACCCUCCCUGCUCAGCUGUCCAGCUCCUACUCAUCCUCCGGCCCCAGGGCAAAUUCACUCUUCCACAAAGCCUGACCUCUCUUCAGCCCACAGGAUCUCUCCUGCCUAGGAGCUUGGUUGUGCAUAUUUGUCCUGUGUGCCUUUGACACAGCACAGUCAUCUCUGACUGCCAACAUCUGUUGCUGCCAACAUGGUAUCAGUUAACCCCUGCACUGCCAUUUAACUUUUCCUCUGAAGUUCUUUGAGAAGGGGACCCUGCCUCAUGGGCCCUUUGUAUUGCCAUCCAAUGUGUGUUAGAAUCUAAACAGUUAGAUAAUUAUCAACCUGUGCCUGAGACCUGCAAUGAAUCAAUAUGUAAAUGAAUCAGGGCACUGGUCAGUCUUCCAGCCCCACUUGAUAUUAAAGACUCAGUGAAGAUGGUUAGCAAAGCAGAGGACAGCAAAUGGGUCUCCGGCAGCUGUGAAGCACCAGAGUUUAUCCAAAGGGGGGACGUGGGGUCUAGAGACUCAUCUCAAAGUUGCAUUUUCAUAACAAAUACACUGGGUUUUUUUUUUUUUUAGCUAUAUUGUGUAUUUGUUGGGGCCUAAUGGAAAUUUAGGAGGACCUAAACCCCCAAGCCACCCUUGGCACCACCCCUACAAGGGGCAGCCACCACAGGGACUGGACAGUUCCAGCAGUUUCUGAAUCCACAGUGUCACAGAGAUCUCAGCUGUAUCCUGCUUUUUUAGGAUCCCAAAGGAACCAUCUGCCUACACUCUUUGCCAGCUGUGCUAAUGUUUGUUUUACACUGCCCAGUAAUGAUUAUAAAAUUACUAUUGCAUGUCCUCAAACUCCACUGGCUUUAAAGAGGGUCUAGAGGCACAAUGAGAACAAGGAGAUGUGGGCAAGACAGGCAGACAGCGAUAAGGAGGUUCAGAGAGACAGCGAGGGAGUGAGUAAGGGCGAGAUCAAGAGAGAGACAGGCCCGAGGCCAACCCGCAGCUGACCGCUGGCGUGAGGAACAUGGGCUGCCUCUCGCCCCAGGUAUGUUGGCACAGCUGGGCUGUUCUGGCCUCAAAGAUGAUGACAGGACAACAGGACUGGCAGGAGCGGUUCCUGACCCAUGAUUUGAAAUCUACAAUCUGUCAAAAUUACCAUAAUUAUUGUGCUAAGGUAGUUGGGUUAUGGGAAAUUCCCCCUUUCUCAUUCAUUCCUUCAUUCACCUGACAAAUAGCACUUGAAUGCCACUGUGUGCCAGACACUGUGAUAAGCAAAGUGGAUAAAGGGUGAGCAGCUCAGCAGCUGGAGAGAAAGAAAGACAUAAAUAAAGAGCGUCUACAGCCAGAUCUGGGCAGCAGGACAUGAGGCUCAGACUGUUGAUUCUAAAGCCAAGCUGCCUGGGUUUGAAUCCCAGCUCUGCCACCCACCAGCUGUACAAUCCUGGGCAAGUUCCCUGACCCCUCUGUGCCUCAAUUUCCCCCGUAGAUCUAAAAUAGAACAAGUAAGAGUACCUUAGAGGGCUAUGGUGAGGAUUGAAUAAGUUAAUCCUUGCAGAGGUUUUAGAACAGUGCCUAAUAAAUAAGGCCAGAUGUUUGUUGUUAAAAAAAAAAAUAGGGCCACGAAGGGCGUAAUUUAGAUAGGAUGGUUAGGAAAAGCCUGAAAAAUGAAUGUUAACAAUGUUCUGUGGCUGGGCGCGGUGGCUUACGCCUGUAAUCCCAGCACUUUGGGAGGCCGAGGCAGGCAGAUCACCUGAGGUCAGGAGUUCAAGACCCGCCUGGCCAACAUGGUGAAAACCCAUCUCUACUAAAAAUACAAAAAGUAGCUGGGCGUGGUGAUGCACAUCUGUAAUCCCAGCUACUUGGGAGGCUAAGACAGGAGAAUCGCUGGAACCAGGGAGGUGGAGAUUGCAGUAAGCCAAGAUCUCACCACAGCACUCCAGCCUGGGCAACAGAACAGGACUCCGUCUCCAAGAAAUAAAAAUAAAAAAAAUACAAAGAAAAGUGUUCUGGGCUGGGCGCAGUGGCUCAUGCCUGUAAUCCCAGCACUUUGGGAGGCCAAGGCAGGCAGAUCACGAGGUCAGGAGAUUGAGACCAUCCUGGCUAACAUGGUGAAACUCCAUCUACUAAAAAUACAAAAAACUAGCUGGGCGUGGUGGCAGGCGCCUGUAGACCCAGCUACUCAGGAGACUGAGGCAGGAGAAUGGCAUGAACCCGGGAGGUGGAGCUUUCAGUGAGCUGAGAUCGCGCCACUGCACUCCGGCCUGGGCGACAGAGCAAGACUCCGUCUCAAAAAAAAAAAAAAAAAGUUCUGAAAAUGACAAUAGUGAGAAGGUGGCAGCUCCUCUAAUCUACAGUCUCUAUAAUGUAAUAUUUAUUUUAUAAUUCCAAAGAUAAUAUUUUCAUUUAAAAAACGUGCACCCUCGGUAUUUUCAAGUCUUGGGGAUGGCCCUUUGAUGAGUCGCACUGUCUAACUCACCUGGUUUGGUGCCAAAAGGAACCACCUGUUUUCUGGGGCUGUGGCCUGCAGCCUUAGGAACAGUGCUUUGCUCUGGGGGAAGCUAAAAGUUGCAAUGGGGCUAAGCUAAGAGCAGCAACUCCAUGGCUCAGCCUCCUGAGCCUUGUGCUCUAUUUGAUGAGAUAAUCCACAGCUGCCUGGUGCAAAGUCAAGAACCGGAGAAGAGAAACAGAGAUUGCUGACCUUCUCCGUGGGCCACCAGAGUCCAGCCUGCAUGUGCAGGCUCUCCCUCCAGCACACAGGUUGCUCCUGCAGGGCUCAGCCCCAGCAACGCUGAGAGGGUGAAACUGGCCACCUACCUCUCCCUCUGAUUCCCACCCUGGAUGCCCUGUGUCCCAGGACCCCUGUAACAUUCUCCCACCCUAAGUAAUCAUCUCUGGACCUUGCCACCUGAUCAUGCCAUUAAAUUCCCCUAAUGCCAUUGCCUCGAGGCUCUUCUUUUUCUAUUCUUUUAAAAGUGACCAUUAGAAAUAUUAAUUAGAAUCUACAAUUGGGCCAUUAGAAUCUUCCCAACUUAUGUAUCUACAUAACAGGGGCCUUCUACUGACAACUAGAACUCAAAGAGUAGAAGGCAAGCAGUCAUGCACUCAAGCAGGUAGCAGGGAGCAACACUCAGGGGUAGGGAGCUCUGAGAACCCCUCCAAUAAAACAGUGCUUGCAGCUCACUAUCCCUCCCAUGAGCAGUCACGGCUGGAAGCCACCAUGGGGAAGAUGCUUAAAGGGGCCUACACCCCUUCCCCUUUUGACACCCUGAGUUGCCAAAUUCAUAGAUCCUCAAACACUUCUCAUCCAAAUUCCUGUUUCUAAAUGGGGAAAGUGAGGCCCAGGGAGAGGAAGGCGCUUGCCUUGCCCAGGGCUGCUGAGAGAUGGAGGCCCCCCUGCCCCAGCACACUGCCCACCUAUGGGAUCCACCUAUGCUGCCUUAUACUCUGGUGGACAGGGCACUUUUCUGGGUGGUCAAGUAAGCUUAAAAUAUCCUGUUGUCAUGGCCCCCUAAAAAGGCACCCUGUCUCUACCCCUCUGCUAGCUAGGAUCGCCUAAGUGCCAGGAAAGCCAGUACAGCCCCUCCAUUCAGCAGUCCAAAACAGCUCUAGCUGCCUACAACUCACUCCAGUGAGAAAACCAAGAUCCAAGUGCUCUCCAAGGGCCAAGAGCAAGGCAGGCAGAGUCAGGGUGAAGCCUGAAGCAUCCAGCUCCCUGGUCCAGGGUGCACACUGGUCACAGUCCACACACACAUGCACAACCAGAAUCCCACACCUCCUAGCACAAAAAGUGGGUCCAAACUGUGAGCUUAACCUUCUGUCUUCUUCUGGGAGUCACCAGCCUCCUCUGUGUUCUACCAGCUACCACCAGGAGCAUCCUCCCCUGACCCCAUCGAGGCACCUGCUCCAGGAAGGCCCCCAGGCAUGGGAGAGAAGACUCUUUCUAAGUGCAGCUGAGUCAGACUCGGCUUCUCAGGAUGAUCCAGUUUUAUCAUCACUGGGAGGGACGGCAGUCACCCGUGCCCUGGCCUGCAAGCCCCUUCACCCUCAGAUGCCAGCAGACUGUGUUGCAGGAAGGCUACAGCUCAGGUCUUGAAGAGUCCAGAAUCUGAGAGGAGGGUGCCUGAAUUGGCUGCAGCAACUGGACAGGCCUGGGUGGACACUUACUUAGUAUAGAUCCAUGGCCUGGCAGAUGUAGGAGGAGCUCAAUACUGAGUGUGGGUUGGGGUACUAGGACACAUUUUGGAAAGACAUGUACUUUCUGGCCUGUAGGUCUGUGGAAGGGAGAAAGGGGUUGAGGACAACUGCCAGGUCAGAAUUUGCUGCAGCCACCAGCCACCAUACCUGCCUGCUACUCAGGUGGCUUGUGCCAGUGAUGAGUGGAGAGCAUCCCCAUCUCAGGGGACAGAGCUGUGCAGGGCUCAGGGGAGCUGGGGCUAUGAACCUAUGCUCCAACGGGAGCAGCUCUGGGCCUUAAUGCUUGGGGUAAGCACUGAGAUGCUGCAGCCCUGGGAUUCUGCUGCUCUGGACUUUAUCCCUCGGCAUCUUUUGUUACUGAUAGUCUUGGCUGCCUAGCUGGAUGAUUGACCCCAUGAGGGCCAGAACUACCAGUCUUGGUUUUUUCUUUUUUAGAGACAGAGUCUUUCUCUGUCAACCAAAGAAAGGACGAGUGCAGUUAUAGCUCACUGUAACCUCGAACUCCUGGGCUCAAGUGAUCCCCCCACUUCAACCUCCCAAGUAGCUAGGACUACAGGUGCACACCACCAUACCCGGGUAAUUUUUAUUUUUUAUAGAGACCGGGUCUUGCUUUGUUACCCAGGUUGGUCUCAAAUGCCUAGCCUCCCAAAGCAUUGGGAUUACAGGCAUCAGCCACAGCACCUGGCCUUUGUCUUGUUCACAGAGCCCCUACAAGGCCUAUAGUAAGUACGUGAAAAUAAAAGAAUGUGGGAAUGGAGAGAGGGAAAAAGGAAUUUAUAUGCUUGGGUCUAAUCCUGCAAAAGAAUAAAAUGUUGGGAUUCAGAGAGCUGUCAUGGGGAGUGCCGGGGGCAUGGGGAAAGGGCAUGGCUGAUACACAUCCAGUUACUUCACCUGUCUACCCUGCUAUUAAGCAGUUAUGUGACCUUGGGCAAACCUGCCUGUGCCUCAGUUUCUUUGACUGUAAAACCAGAGUAAAAAUACCUGUAGUACCUAUUCUGUCAUCAGGAUAAAAAUAACGUAACGUGAGACAGGGUGAAGAUGAAAGAAGAUGAAAACACCAUUCAAGUCUUAACCUAUUAUUAUCAUGGUAAAUCUUGUGACUAUUGGGAAGGAGAGCAGCCAGAGGCUGAGGGCUGUUGGAGACACAGAA
Molecule: long non-coding RNA, 6786 nt
Filed under: Homo sapiens (human)
Lineage: Eukaryota; Metazoa; Chordata; Mammalia; Primates; Hominidae
Description: HSALNT0188453
Source: RNAcentral